CCCUUAGAUGUUCUGGGCCGCACGCGCGCUACACUGACGAAUGCAACGAGCUUAUAACCUUGGCCGAAAGGUCUGGGUAAUCUCCAAAUUUCGUCGUGAUGGGGAUAGAUUAUUGCAAUUAUUAAUCUUCAACGAGGAAUGCCUAGUAAGCGCAAGUCAUCAGCUUGCGUUGAUUACGUCCCUGCCCUUUGUACACACCGCCCGUCGCUCCUACCGAUUGAAUGGUCCGGUGAAAUCCUCGGAUCGAGCCGUGGGGCAACUCCGGUUCGAGAAGUUGAUUAAACCUUACCAUUUAGAGGAAGGUGAAGUCGUANCA
Molecule: ribosomal RNA, 316 nt
Filed under: uncultured eukaryote
Lineage: Eukaryota
Description: partial 18S ribosomal RNA
Rfam family: Eukaryotic small subunit ribosomal RNA
Source: RNAcentral